Molecule: transfer RNA, 73 nt
Filed under: Gloeotilopsis planctonica
Lineage: Eukaryota; Viridiplantae; Chlorophyta; Ulvophyceae; Ulotrichales; Ulotrichaceae
Description: tRNA-Lys
Rfam family: tRNA
About the family: Transfer RNA (tRNA) molecules are approximately 80 nucleotides in length. Their secondary structure includes four short double-helical elements and three loops (D, anti-codon, and T loops).
Source: RNAcentral
GUGGUUGUAGCUCAAAUGGAAGAGCAAUCGACUUUUAAUCGAUUGGCUGCAGGUUCAAGUCCUGUCGACCACA